Molecule: ribosomal RNA, 469 nt
Filed under: uncultured bacterium
Lineage: Bacteria
Description: bacterial SSU rRNA
Rfam family: Bacterial small subunit ribosomal RNA
Source: RNAcentral
UUCCAGACUCCUACGGGAGGCAGCAGUGAGGAAUAUUGGUCAAUGGGCGGAAGCCUGAACCAGCCAAGUCGCGUGAGGGAAGAAGGCCCUGCGGGUCGCAGACCUCUUUGGACGGGGAGCAAGGCCGCCGACGUGUCGGCGGAAGGAGAGUACCCGUAGAACAAGCAUCGGCUAACUCCGUGCCAGCAGCCGCGGUAAUACGGAGGAUGCGAGCGUUAUCCGGAUUUAUUGGGUUUAAAGGGUGCGCAGGCGGAGGUGCAAGUCAGCGGUCAAAUUGCGGGGCUCAACCCCGUACUGCCGUUGAAACUGCAUCCCUUGAGUGCGCGAGAAGUAUGCGGAAUGCGUGGUGUAGCGGUGAAAUGCAUAGAUAUCACGCAGAACUCCGAUUGCGAAGGCAGCAUACCGGCGCGCAACUGACGCUCAUGCACGAAAGCGUGGGUAUCGAACAGGAUUAGAUACCCUCGUAGUC